GCGGCCGCACCACCUAAGGCCUGUUCAGAGCAGCAAGAUUGCCAGUGACCACCGAGCUGAAUUCGCACGCUGUCUGGAGCCACUGCUGCUGCUGGGGCCACGUCGGGUGGCAGCUGCUGCAAGUGGUGCUAACAUUAGGAAAGAUGUCGGGGUCACCCGUCCAAAAGCCCACGCUGCGCCGGUCCAUCAGCACCAAGGUGCUGCUGGCGGAGGGCGAGAACACGCCCUUCACAGAGCACUGCCGCCACUAUGAGGACUCCUACCGG
RNAcentral lists this small RNA (266 nucleotides) under Pongo abelii (Sumatran orangutan). Its description in RNAcentral is "processed transcript". The record is from RNAcentral. Lineage: Eukaryota; Metazoa; Chordata; Mammalia; Primates; Hominidae.